Molecule: long non-coding RNA, 798 nt
Organism: Dermacentor andersoni
Lineage: Eukaryota; Metazoa; Arthropoda; Arachnida; Ixodida; Ixodidae
Source: RefSeq, a predicted model, not a curated record
CACUCCUGUUCCCAAUUACGGUCCACAAGCGUACCCGGUGCGCUCUCGCACGACUCUACGGUCUGCGCUCCAAAAAGAUUACUUCGGCCACGAGCAUCACCUGUUCCAGGAGCGUCUGCUAUUGCUUCUACAUUCCAUCGCCAGUGGCGUCCUGCUGGUAGACUGGACUCGUCUCCACGCCCAGCGCUACUACAGCUUCUGCACUCUUGUUUUCAAUUGCGGUCCACAAGCGUACCCAGCGCGCUCUUGCACGACUCUACGGUCUGCGCCCCAAUAAGAUUACUUCGGUCACGAGCAUCACCUGUUCCAGGAGCAACUGCUAUUGCUUCUACAUUCCAUCGCCAGUGGCGUGCUGCUGGUAGACUGGACUCGUCUCCUCACCCUGCGCGACUACUGCUUCUGCACUCCUGUUCCCAAUUACGGUCGACAAGCGUACCCAGCGCGCUCUUGCACGACUCUACGGUCUGCGCCCCAAUAAGAUUACUUCGGUCACGAGCAUCACCUGUUCCAGGAGCAACUGCUAUUCCUUCUACAUUCCCUCGCCAGUGGCGUCCUGCUCGUAGACUUGACUCGUCUGCUCGCCCUGCGCUACUACUACUGCAUCUGCACUCCUGUUCCCAAUUACGGUCGACAAGCGUACCCAGCGCGCUCUUGCACGACUCUACGGUCUGCGCCCCAAUAAGAUUACUUCGGUCACGAGCAUCACCUGUUCCAGGAGCAACUGCUAUUCCUUCUACAUUCCCUCGCCAGUGGCGUCCUGCUUGUAGACUUUACUCGUCUCCUCGCCCUACGCUACUA